Molecule: ribosomal RNA, 497 nt
Filed under: uncultured bacterium
Lineage: Bacteria
Description: partial 16S ribosomal RNA
Rfam family: Bacterial small subunit ribosomal RNA
Source: RNAcentral
UCUUCCCUCUUUCUUCGUGCCUAAUACAUGCAAGUCGAGCGAACAGACGAGGAGCUUGCUCCUCUGACGUUAGCGGCGGACGGGUGAGUAACACGUGGAUAACCUACCUAUAAGACUGGGAUAACUUCGGGAAACCGGAGCUAAUACCGGAUAAUAUAUUGAACCGCAUGGUUCAAUAGUGAAAGACGGUUUUGCUGUCACUUAUAGGUGGAUCCGCGCCGCAUUAGCUAGUUGGUAAGGUAACGGCUUACCAAGGCAACGAUGCGUAGCCGACCUGAGAGGGUGAUCGGCCACACUGGAACUGAGACACGGUCCAGACUCCUACGGGAGGCAGCAGUAGGGAAUCUUCCGCAAUGGGCGAAAGCUUGACGGAGCAACGCCGCGUGAGUGAUGAAGGUCUUCGGAUCGUAAAACUCUGUUAUUAGGGAAGAACAAAUGUGUAAGUAACUAUGCACGUCUUGACGGUACCUAAUCAGAAAGCCACGGCUAACUACGUG